Pipistrellus kuhlii (Kuhl's pipistrelle) is the source of this 1193-nucleotide long non-coding RNA. RefSeq lists it as uncharacterized. The record is from RefSeq and is a predicted model, not a curated record. Lineage: Eukaryota; Metazoa; Chordata; Mammalia; Chiroptera; Vespertilionidae. The transcript is spliced from 2 exons.
ACUCAUUCAACGUCAAGAAAUGUGGACUUCUGGUCAAGAUGGCAGAUGGCUCCUGAAUACCUCAGUAGAACUCCUGGCCUCUCUGUGGCAUGACUGAAUAAAAAGGAAUGUGCCAAACCUCAGCAUGGCACGCUCACUCUUGUAAGUGGGUUGGUUGUAAAAUGAGCUAGCUCAUUAUUCCAACCCACAAUACAAAACUGCUUUUGAAAGGAACUCCUGUUCUUAAAAGUAAAAAAAGGGCAGUUUAGAAACAAAAAGCAUUGGGCUUAGGAAGGUACUCUUUCUUGUGAUAUAACUUUAAGUUGGGUAGCAGCCACUGAUUUGAAAGUACCCGUGGGGUUCAGGCCAAGCUUUGGAACUUUAUUUCCACACAUAAACUAAUAUGGAAAGAAACCUGCUAUCACUCUGGAGCAGCGGUUCCUGCAAAUCGCACACCUGACAAAGCAUUUUACAUCUGCCAACCUCCUUCCUUCUCCUGGAGCAGAUAAUGGCUCUCCAUUUACUAAGGUGGCAAGAGGCGCCAGUUUUGGAAUGAAUUAGAUUACCCGCUGAAAUGUAUAUUACAUUUUUAUCUCCUGCAUCCUUACUGCAUAAAAGGAUUUAAAUACUAUUCUGUCCCACUAACACAGCCAGCUGCUGGCCAUUCCUCCAGAAUGAGUCCCUUUUCAGAGGUGAAAACACACAGCCCAGACAGCUGGAAAGCAGUCAGCUGGCCACCAUGAACGUGGCUCCCGAGUUUCCCAUGGACUGCUCUCUACUGUGCUCCACCUGACCACCCCCAACUGCUCUUGCCACCAGGCUGACAUCAUCGCACCACUGGCCUAUCAGCCGCUCCAGAGAGAUGCUCAGACAAAUCACAUUUGGUGCUGCUCAGUCUCAUGAGUCAGAAAAUCUGAUUAGAUUUCUAUGCCUUCUGAAUACAACUCUGAGUGUGGUCCCCCAAGCAAAUCGCUGGGCACUUUCACUCAGUCAUUUCAGGUGAAGUUCUGGGGGCCCGGGCAGUGGCAGCCUUCCUGGAAGGAGGCAUGGGAAACGCUCACUCAGAAGGAGCCAAGGCUGUGGGGCAUAUGCUUGAGGACAAAGCAAGAACACUUUCAGAGUGCUUACAGCUUACAAAGCACCUUCAUUCUUAUUUCAUUUCAGGUUCUACACUGUCCAAGGAAGUUAACACUAAAAUGAGUAUGCUUCUGAAA